AUUGAACGCUGGCGGCAGGCCUAACACAUGCAAGUCGAAUGGUAACAGGAAACAGCUUGCUGUUUCGCUGACGAGUGGCGGACGGGUGAGUAAUGUCUGGGAAACUGCCUGAUGGAGGGGGAUAACUACUGGAAACGGUAGCUAAUACCGCAUAACGUCGCAAGACCAAAGAGGGGGACCUUCGGGCCUCUUGCCAUCAGAUGUGCCCAGAUGGGAUUAGCUAGUAGGUGGGGUAACGGCUCACCUAGGCGACGAUCCCUAGCUGGUCUGAGAGGAUGACCAGCCACACUGGAACUGAGCCACGGUCCAGACUCCUACGGGAGGCAGCAGUGGGGAAUAUUGCACAAUGGGCGCAAGCCUGAUGCAGCCAUGCCGCGUGUAUGAAGAAGGCCUUCGGGUUGUAAAGUACUUUCAGCGGGGAGGAAGGGAGUAAAGUUAAUACCUUUGCUCAUUGACGUUACCCGCAGAAGAAGCACCGGCUAACUCCGUG
RNAcentral lists this ribosomal RNA (490 nucleotides) under uncultured bacterium. RNAcentral's name for it is "partial 16S ribosomal RNA". It matches the Rfam family "Bacterial small subunit ribosomal RNA", at positions 30 to 507 of the family's 1533-position model. The record is from RNAcentral.